GUGGACCGUGGAUCUCGAGGUAGGCGUGGCUUGUCAUCAAAAGAGUUUCAGAGACAGAUCAGAGUUGCGCAGCGAAAGAUUUGAGGAGUUGAGUCAGUUAGUUGGUUGACUUUUACUAUUUUUAUUAUAUUACAUGUUGUAUUUGUAAACCAAAUGACCAUUGUAUAUGUAUCAUUUGAGAGGAGUUAUUGUAUAUAUAUAUAUAUAUAUUUUUCUGA
Long non-coding RNA from Papaver somniferum (opium poppy), 218 nucleotides. RefSeq lists it as uncharacterized. NCBI's taxonomy places the organism in Eukaryota, Viridiplantae, Streptophyta, Magnoliopsida, Ranunculales, Papaveraceae. The record is from RefSeq and is a predicted model, not a curated record. The transcript is spliced from 2 exons.